This 254-nucleotide ribosomal RNA is filed under the name uncultured bacterium. Its description in RNAcentral is "partial 16S ribosomal RNA". It matches the Rfam family "Bacterial small subunit ribosomal RNA", at positions 524 to 776 of the family's 1533-position model. The record is from RNAcentral.
GACAGAGGGUGCAAACGUUGUUCGGAAUUACUGGGCGUAAAGCGCGUGUAGGCGGCUCUGCAAGUCGGGUGUGAAAGGCCUGGGCUCAACCCGGGAAUUGCGCUUGAGACUGGGCUGGCUUGAGUGCGGGAGAGGAUGGUGGAAUUCCCAGUGUAGAGGUGAAAUUCGUAGAUAUUGGGAAGAACACCGGUGGCGAAGGCGGCCAUCUGGACCGCAACUGACGCUGAGGCGCGAAAGCGUGGGGAGCGAACAGG